This 2785-nucleotide long non-coding RNA is filed under the name Daphnia magna. RNAcentral's name for it is "uncharacterized LOC123466550, transcript variant X8". Lineage: Eukaryota; Metazoa; Arthropoda; Branchiopoda; Diplostraca; Daphniidae. The record is from RNAcentral.
CGUAACGGGCAAUAUCCUUGUGCAUUAAGUUGGUGAACUCUUGUGUUCCAUUGGGUAAUGCUAUCAAAUCUUAAUGUGCUAUUUGUGAAAGAUUUUAUUAUUCUGUAUGUUUUAAAGGAAAAUAUUUCAAAUUGAUUUAUUUGCAUGUUACGGAGUUGUAUUUUUCUGAUCUGUGGAGCCUGACAUUUUCCACAAUUUCUAUCGGCGGACAAAAUGUCUUUUAGGAUUGGUAGCAGCUUACAAAGCAGUAGGUUCCAACAUCAUCUAACGUCUGCUUUAGUAAUGGCAGGGAUGUGAAUGAUAAUUUGUGAAAUCAAACAACUUAAGCAGGUGCCUAGCUCAACAACUCCUAUGAAAUCUAGAUUGGUGGUGGUAGUUCUAGGGCGCCUGUUCAGGCAACAGUUUCGUUUUUUAAUCCGCCAAGGAUUUAUGCGUUAUUGCGUCUACUGUGUAGCCUGAGUAGCAUACGCAAGGGGGCGUUUAUCUACAUUCCUGAUCACCAAGCAGUUACAAAUAUGUUCUACACUGAUAAGCAUCCGAGGCAAAGGGCGAGCUGAACUAGUCUAUUGCCCCUCAAUUCCAGAGGGCACUAGUUUACAGCAACUCGGGCUCACCCUUUGGGUAAUUUGAGAUACUUUUCUGGACGGUUCAGAAUCUUAUUAUUGGCCAAAAUUUGAUACGAGAUUAAUUGAUACUUAGUCCUGUCAGACCUCAAAUUCUACGGUUUAUAAUUCUUGUUCUAUGACCGAUUUUAUUAUUAUUUUUUUUUAUACAGAGAGUGGAUUCUCAUUUCUUCUUCAUACCAGCGAGCAGAUUUGAGGUUUAAAAUUGUUUUAGGUUGUUAAGCAAGUCUGACUUUCUACGAUGUACAUGGCCGCCAAACUUUGUCGUUAUGUCUCACUGUUAAUCGGUAAUAAAAACGUCGAAUUAUUGACGAUACGUUUGUCAAAAUGGCAAAUACAACGCCUAACGAUUUAAAUCUAACUUGGGAUAAUCUACUUCUCGGACAAGGUACUUUGAGACCGGAUCUAAUUGAGUCCGCUUUCCAUAUGGCUUCUUCGCGCACGGUUGCCAUGAAGACUCGUCAUAACGAUUCCGAAAUGGUUCGUCAAUUUCGCAUUCACGGCCGUGUAGUAGAACCUAUUAAAGACUUCCUUAAAGAUGAAGUAAGAGCCUUAGGUCGUGAGCUGGGUUUGCCCGCACAAUUACUGGAACGUUACCCGUUUCCUGGUCCCGGCUUGUCAAUUUGAAUCAUUUACGCCGAAGAGCCGUUCUUGGAAGCUAAUUUCGAUGAGACGCAAGUGAUGAUUCGUUCGAUGGUCCAUUAUGCCAACAUAGCAGCCAAGGAACAUGCCUUGCUCAAUCGGAUUGAAAUCGUGACGUCGGAAGAAGAACGUCUUGUUCUGGGAGAACUGUCUAGUCGCAACCAGUAGAUGAUAGGUGCCACCGUAUCUACGCCAAGGUUUUUUUUUCUCUUGUCUAGAUCUUUUAAUGGCCAGUGGGUCCUUGUGAUCAUGGCCAAUGGCUUGAGCCGGAUACCAACGACUAUGGCACCUGUCGCCCUUCGCCUUGCCCAGUAAGCAAAUGCAACGGUCGCCAGAUCUACUGGAAGUCAACACUAAAUUCUGAAGGUAGCUGUUAUAAAUCGUUCACACGUGGGCCUUGCAGGCGAAGUAGCUAUUUCCUCGUUGAAGAAUAUGGCACUCGAAGAGGUCGAUUUGUUUCUCAAUUUGGAUCAUCCUAUGAAUCCUAUGUCCUUCCGUCACGCUAUCCCAGGAUGAGGAACCCUUACGACAUGAUGUACUCCAACAACGUGAUGAGCCCAUGAUCGAAAUUUGGCAUGUAUCCGCCGUUUGGCAUGCAGGAAGAUUAGCGGAGACGACUAUCCUGACAUUCCUAGUUUCGAUUACUGAACUAGAAACAGUUUUACAGAACCAUUCACAUGGUUUUGUCUCUAUUAUUUCAUUUUAAAAAUGCGAUUGCAAAUUUUCUAUUGUGACGUAUGGCGGAUAAAAAACAACCUUAAUUAGUUUUAAUGCAUGAAUUCGUUUGCCAAUAAUAUGUGUAUGAAGAAAAUGUUUUCACUUUGAAACAGAGUCAUGGAACCCAUCGGUUUCCAUGACUCUGCUUUGAAAGUUUGAACAGGGAUUUCUGUUUUACCUUUCUGCGAUGCGGCAACACAGCAUUGCAUGUCGAUCUGCGAACGUUUGACAACUCGCUGGUAUUGCAACAGGUUAAUAGUUUUGUGUCAAGUAAAUUUCAAGUGCGAGUAACUGCUGGAAGAUUGCAAGCGAAAUCUGCAUGUGUCGUGUCAUUGUUCUAAGUGUUGGAGACUUUUUUCGUUUUGAUUAGGCAUUCAUGUUUGGGAACAAUACCUGAAGUUGGAUAUCGCCUAGUGAUAUUUACAUAUUAAGUCCUGUUUUAAGACACUUGGGGCGAUACGUUUCGCAACAAAGAUCUAUACAGUACUCAAAAGAUGACCCACAAGCACUACGCCACCACGAUUGAGACAAGGUAAAACACAAAACUAUAAAGCGCCAUUUAUCAAUAAUGAAUGAAUUUCCUCAUUCUAACAAUAAUUUAAGAAAAUGUAAAUGUAUACUUAGCUGUGGUAAUUAUUUCGUUUACAUCGACUACACUUCAAUAAUUUACAAGUGGGAAAGUGUUGCCUAUAAGCAACAAGAAGGUAUUGUGCAUGUUUAUGAGCGAAUCAUGGCUUAAUGGGUGAGUGUCGGAUUGUACCGCUGGAUGUUUGUGGAUCAAAUACCAUCAAAGGUAAAAAGUA